This is a long non-coding RNA of Tachyglossus aculeatus (Australian echidna), 171 nucleotides long. RefSeq lists it as uncharacterized. Lineage: Eukaryota; Metazoa; Chordata; Mammalia; Monotremata; Tachyglossidae. The transcript has 3 exons. The record is from RefSeq and is a predicted model, not a curated record.
CCUCAGCGCUGCGGGCCCAGUGAAGCCUCGCACCUGUCGCCCUCCCGCUCGUCCCCCCGCCGGCUCCCCCGUGCACUUUACACACAUGAGAGAAUUGGAAGCUAAAGCUACCAAAGAAGUUGAAAGGAAACUAAGCAGGGAUUUAGUGCAAGAAGAGGAAGAACAGUUGAU